RNAcentral lists this long non-coding RNA (313 nucleotides) under Fukomys damarensis (Damara mole-rat). Its description in RNAcentral is "lncRNA (ENSFDAG00000023884.1)". Lineage: Eukaryota; Metazoa; Chordata; Mammalia; Rodentia; Bathyergidae. The record is from RNAcentral.
CACAAAGCUUUGCUGAACACAGUAGAGCAGUCAUGAAUGCCAUGAAACCCAAGUAACAAGGGUCUUCUGAAAACUCCAUGCCAACACCAUGACAGGGCUACCUCCACUGUCAGUGUGAAAAGCAGAUUACUCAAGAAAUUUCUUCAAAUAUCCCACCGUCACUCAUUGACGUUGAUGGUGACACACGCCUGUUCUCCAACCCGCCGCUAAGACCCCAGGAAACCAAGAAUGAAUUCUGGCCUGCACCUGAGUCUACUGGAACCAUUAGUGUAGAACUUAAGAAGAAAAUCUGUAGCUAUGAACCCAAGAAGAG